Benincasa hispida (wax gourd) is the source of this 1690-nucleotide non-coding RNA. The record is from RefSeq and is a predicted model, not a curated record. Lineage: Eukaryota; Viridiplantae; Streptophyta; Magnoliopsida; Cucurbitales; Cucurbitaceae.
AAUGAGAAGAGAUUAUGAGAGGGCAUAGGGAUUGGGAAUCUCAAUUGGCGCUUCAGCAAAUUUAGGGAGUGAGUGAGUGAGUGAACCUCCAGAUCGUCAUCCCCACCUGUCCUUUCCUCUGCCAUAUCCUUUUUCUUUUUCAUUGUUUUUUUUUUAUAACGCACCUCACAAGUUUUCUCUCGUUCAAAUCCAUUCUGAGGCUGCGGAGCCUCCAAGUUUCUAUUCCCUUCCUUUGCUUUUGUUCAUCAUGCCCUCAGGCGCUAAGAAGCGAAAAGCUGCCAAGAAAAAGAAGGAAUUGGAAGCUCAUAUCAAUCCUUCUCAAGGAAAUGAGGAUGCUAAGAACCAAGAUGAUAAGGGAAGUGACAGUGGUGAGAUUGAUUCCCCAGCUUCUCAGAAUCACCCAAGCCACAGUAAUCCAUUUGGUGAGGGGAGUAAGGAAAUACAAGAGAGCAGCUCGUCCGAUGCUGGGGUCUCGAGCAAUGUAGGGACUAAUCAGAAAGUAGGACUUGUAUCUGAGAGAAAAAAUGGUAAUGUUCAGAAUGAGUCUGUGAAAGGAUCACGUGCUGACGAUCAUAGCAGUAGUAGUUCAGAUGAUGAGUCUGUGGAUCCAACAAAGAAACCUGAGGUACUGGAUGGGAAGACCAAUGAUUUGGUUGUGCCAACUGCUGCCUCUAUUGUUGACUCGAUUACACCAGAGCUCUCGGCAUCUGAGGAAACUAUCAGCAUUGCUGAAAGUGCAUCUGUUGAAAAUACUGCCACACCUGAUAUGAUUGUUUCGAAAAAGUUAGAGACAACCCCCUUCUCCACAACAGAUGGAGUUACAUAUGUGCUAGUGACAGCUCCAAGGGAUCUAUCAUCAAAACCAAAUGAAGAUAGAAAUUUACACUUAUCAGGAACUAAUAAUUUUGCAGCACAUGCCAAAAAUUCUGAAAGUGCAAAAAAUUCCAAACCUGAAUCUGAAGAUCAGCCGUUGAUUGGGUCAAGGCCACCAGUGCCACAAAGGACCUCAUGGUUGAGUUGCUGUGGUUUAUGUGAUGUAUUUACCAGCUCGGACCGAUAAUUACAGUUUCUAUAUAUAGGGAAUGAAAAUUCUUCACAGGAGGGGUGAAGGUUUAAACAGCAAGGGUCUUUACAAGCGCAUGAUAGGAUAGUCAUCGAACUUGAUGAGCCCAGCCUAAGAAUCUACUAGCCGGUUGAGGUCCACACGAUGAUUGCGGUAUAAACAAAUUGCGUAACUGAAAGGAUAAUCAGGAAAGCCUCCAACGCAAUCUGCAUAAGAAAAACACAAAAAAUACUCAACAUUGGCUUCGUAGCUUCCAUUACUCUGUGAAGCACUUUGGAGAACUGAAACAUGGUUUGCUAAAAGGGAAAAGAAAAGAGAGGAAAACAACAGAAGCUUUUAGGUUCCUCACCAGAUGGCCACUGGUGACAGUCAGGGCAAUCUCUUUCCAAGCGAACCUGCAUCAGUGACAUUCAUUCUAGUUAUAAUCCAUUUUGAAAAGAUUCAAACUUUUAUAUAGGUUUUCAGUUCCCAGAUGUUUGGACCAUGUCCCCUUUGACACAACUGUAUUUCAACUGUUCGUACCAUGUUGAGGAGUACGACUUAUAGCUUGUUAUGUGAAGUUUAUUAUUGACUAGAGAUGCAAGUUUCGAUGAAGAUGAAAUAAAUACACAAGUUCUAGAGUCAAAA